GAUGAACGCUGGCGGCGUGCCUAAUACAUGCAAGUCGAGCGAACAGACGAGGAGCUUGCUCCUCUGACGUUAGCGGCGGACGGGUGAGUAACACGUGGAUAACCUACCUAUAAGACUGGGAUAACUUCGGGAAACCGGAGCUAAUACCGGAUAAUAUAUUGAACCGCAUGGUUCAAUAGUGAAAGACGGUUUUGCUGUCACUUAUAGAUGGAUCCGCGCCGCAUUAGCUAGUUGGUAAGGUAACGGCUUACCAAGGCAACGAUGCGUAGCCGACCUGAGAGGGUGAUCGGCCACACUGGAACUGAGACACGGUCCAGACUCCUACGGGAGGCAGCAGUAGGGAAUCUUCCGCGAUGGGCGAAAGCCUGACGGAGCAACGCCGCGUGAGUGAUGAAGGUCUUCGGAUCGUAAAACUCUGUUAUUAGGGAAGAACAAAUGCGUAAGUAACUAUGCACGUCUUGACGGUACCUAAUCAGAAAGCCACGGCUAACUACGUG
RNAcentral lists this ribosomal RNA (497 nucleotides) under uncultured bacterium. RNAcentral describes it as "partial 16S ribosomal RNA". It matches the Rfam family "Bacterial small subunit ribosomal RNA", at positions 28 to 507 of the family's 1533-position model. The record is from RNAcentral.